AUACGGAGGGUGCAAGCGUUACUCGGAAUCACUGGGCGUAAAGGAUGCGUAGGCUGGAUGUCAAGUUGGAAGUGAAAUCCUAUGGCUUAACCAUAGAACUGCUUCCAAAACUGGCAACCUAGAGUGAGGGAGAGGCAGAUGGAAUUAGUGGUGUAGGGGUAAAAUCCGUAGAUAUCACUAGGAAUACCGAUUGCGAAGGCGAUCUGCUAGAACUCUACUGACGCUAAGGCAUGAAAGCGUGGGGAGCAAACAGGAUUAGAUACCCUAGUAGUCC
This 274-nucleotide ribosomal RNA is filed under the name uncultured bacterium. Its description in RNAcentral is "partial 16S ribosomal RNA". It matches the Rfam family "Bacterial small subunit ribosomal RNA", at positions 523 to 796 of the family's 1533-position model. The record is from RNAcentral.